UAAUUUUAAAAAUAAUUCAUACCUGAGGCUGAAUGCCUUGAUUAAAUCAGGAGAUCUUAAUUUUGAGAUUCAGUUAAUGAGCUUGUUGUCUUGGAUCAGUUUUGGCAACGAGUCCUCGCAGUGAGACUUACGAGUUGAAUUCGGUAUCAAAAGUUAUGCUCACAACAUACAAAAACUUUAUCCACAAAUGAUCAAUUCUUUCAUUCAAACACAACCUCUCAUAAUUAAUUUUAGAGAAAUUAAAUAAUACUAA
Molecule: unclassified non-coding RNA, 253 nt
Filed under: Hevea brasiliensis (rubber tree)
Lineage: Eukaryota; Viridiplantae; Streptophyta; Magnoliopsida; Malpighiales; Euphorbiaceae
Source: RNAcentral